This 494-nucleotide ribosomal RNA is filed under the name uncultured bacterium. RNAcentral describes it as "partial 16S ribosomal RNA". It matches the Rfam family "Bacterial small subunit ribosomal RNA", at positions 28 to 507 of the family's 1533-position model. The record is from RNAcentral.
GACGAACGCUGGCGGCGUGCUUAACACAUGCAAGUCGAACGGUGAAGCGCCUUCCUUUUUGGUGGGUGUGGAUGAGUGGCGAACGGGUGAGUAACACGUGAGUAACCUGCCCCCUUCUUCUGGAUAACCGCAUGAAAGUGUGGCUAAUACGGGAUAUUCUGGGUCUGUCGCAUGAUGGGUCUGGGAAAGAUAUUGUUUCGGUGGGGGAUGGGCUCGCGGCCUAUCAGCUUGUUGGUGGGGUGAUGGCCUACCAAGGCGGUGACGGGUAGCCGGCCUGAGAGGGUGGACGGUCACACUGGGACUGAGACGCGGCCCAGACUCCUACGGGAGGCAGCAGUGGGUAAUAUUGCACAAUGGGCGCAAGCCUGAUGCAGCGACGCCGCGUGAGGGAUGGAGGCCUGCGGGUUGUGAACCUCUUUCGCCAGUGAAGCAGGCCUGCCUCGUUUGUGGGUGGGUUGACGGUAGCUGGAGAAGAAGCGCCGGCUAACUACGUG